CUAGAUCUUUGGAUAAAGGAGUACCACAACAAAUCAAGAUCAAGCUGCCUAACCGCAAGAUACAGAAUCACUGGGAAAGCAAUGAAGUGUAUUCUCUGGAAAGAAAUGUUCAGACGUUGUUCAUCACUCUCCAGCUGGGUGGUGUC
Lagopus leucura (white-tailed ptarmigan) is the source of this 146-nucleotide long non-coding RNA. RefSeq lists it as uncharacterized. Lineage: Eukaryota; Metazoa; Chordata; Aves; Galliformes; Phasianidae. The record is from RefSeq and is a predicted model, not a curated record. The transcript has 3 exons.